RNAcentral lists this ribosomal RNA (457 nucleotides) under uncultured Anoxybacillus sp. Its description in RNAcentral is "bacterial SSU rRNA". It matches the Rfam family "Bacterial small subunit ribosomal RNA", at positions 923 to 1382 of the family's 1533-position model. The record is from RNAcentral. Lineage: Bacteria; Bacillati; Bacillota; Bacilli; Caryophanales; Anoxybacillaceae.
GCACAAGCGGUGGAGCAUGUGGUUUAAUUCGAAGCAACGCGAAGAACCUUACCAGGUCUUGACAUCCCUGACAACCCGAGAGAUCGGGCGUCCCCUUCGGGGGACAGGGUGACAGGUGGUGCAUGGUUGUCGUCAGCUCGUGUCGUGAGAUGUUGGGUUAAGUCCCGCAACGAGCGCAACCCUCGACCUUAGUUGCCAGCAUUCAGUUGGGCACUCUAAGGUGACUGCCGGCUAAAAGUCGGAGGAAGGUGGGAUGACGUCAAAUCAUCAUGCCCCUUAUGACCUGGGCUACACACGCGCUACAAUGGGCGGUACAAAGGGUCGCGAACCCGCGAGGGGGAGCCAAUCCCAAAAAGCCGCUCUCAGUUCGGAUUGCAGGCUGCAACUCGCCUGCAUGAAGCCGGAAUCGCUAGUAAUCGCGGAUCAGCAUGCUGCGGUGAAUACGUUCCCGGGCCUU